AGCUGUUUUGGGACUACAAUUCCCAUCAUCCCUAACCACUGGUCCUGUUAGCUAGGGAUGAUGGGAGUUGUAGUCCCAAAACAUCA
This 86-nucleotide microRNA precursor is filed under the name Podarcis lilfordi (Lilford's wall lizard). The record is from RNAcentral. Lineage: Eukaryota; Metazoa; Chordata; Lepidosauria; Squamata; Lacertidae.